This 265-nucleotide ribosomal RNA is filed under the name uncultured Atopobium sp. Its description in RNAcentral is "partial 16S ribosomal RNA". It matches the Rfam family "Bacterial small subunit ribosomal RNA", at positions 91 to 354 of the family's 1533-position model. Lineage: Bacteria; Bacillati; Actinomycetota; Coriobacteriia; Coriobacteriales; Atopobiaceae. The record is from RNAcentral.
UAAAGUGGCGAACGGCUGAGUAACACGUGGGCAACCUGCCCUUUGCACUGGGAUAGCCUCGGGAAACCGAGGUUAAUACCGGAUACUCCAUAUUUGUCGCAUGGCGAAUAUGGGAAAGCUCCGGCGGCAAAGGAUGGGCCCGCGGCCUGUUAGCUAGUUGGUGGGGUAGUGGCCUACCAAGGCAAUGAUGGGUAGCCGGGUUGAGAGACCGACCGGCCAGAUUGGGACUGAGACACGGCCCAGACUCCUACGGGAGGCAGCAGGG